GUAAUAGCUUAAAUCGUCUUCAUCUUCCUAAAUUAACGCAGUCAAGUCUUGAUCUUAUUUAAAUGGGGCAUUUUUGUGUAAUAUUGUAUUUAAUUAAUUAUUGAGACAUCAUUCUUUAAUCCUAGACAAUGGUUCAUGGUUACAGUCACGUGGCAUAUUACACCCAUGACAUGCUGGCAGCCUGUUUACAUGGCUUCUUUUUCUACGAAGAAUGCAAAGCACAAACGGGAAACGCAAAUGUUUGUGUUCGGGUAGCUUUUGACCUGUCCCGCGGAGUCAGACAUCGACAUUAAAAUCGUCACGCAGACAUAUUCACACAACACAUGAUCCAUCAAUGGCGAAGGUAUUAAGGAUAGAAAAACAAUCUUACGCUUCUCAUUUCUUCAUUGCGUGUUGUUGACUUUGGUAUUAUAAUAAACGUCGAUCUUCCA
Xenia sp. Carnegie-2017 is the source of this 431-nucleotide long non-coding RNA. RefSeq lists it as uncharacterized. NCBI's taxonomy places the organism in Eukaryota, Metazoa, Cnidaria, Anthozoa, Malacalcyonacea, Xeniidae. The record is from RefSeq and is a predicted model, not a curated record. The transcript is spliced from 2 exons.